GGACCUGACUGCUAUCGGAUUGAUACUAAGCCAUGCGAGUCAUUGUAGCAAUACAAGGCAUACGGCUCAGUAACGCGUAGUCAACCUAACCUAUGGACGGGAAUAACCUCGGGAAACUGAGAAUAAUGCCCGAUAGAACAUUAUGCCUGGAAUGGUUUAUGUUCCAGAUGAUUUAUCGCCGUAGGAUGGGACUGCGGCCCAUCAGUUUGUUGGUGAGGUAAUGGCCCACCAAGACUAUUACAGGUACGGGCUCUGAGAGGAGUAGCCCGGAGAUGGGUACUGAGACACGGACCCAGGCCCUAUGGGGCGCAGCAGGCGAGAAAACUUUGCAAUGUGCGAAAGCACGACAA
This 350-nucleotide ribosomal RNA is filed under the name uncultured archaeon. Its description in RNAcentral is "bacterial SSU rRNA". It matches the Rfam family "Archaeal small subunit ribosomal RNA", at positions 19 to 373 of the family's 1478-position model. The record is from RNAcentral.